This 227-nucleotide ribosomal RNA is filed under the name uncultured fungus. RNAcentral's name for it is "partial 26S ribosomal RNA". It matches the Rfam family "Eukaryotic large subunit ribosomal RNA", at positions 38 to 281 of the family's 3401-position model. Lineage: Eukaryota; Fungi. The record is from RNAcentral.
GCAUAUCAAUAAGCGGAGGAAAAGAAACUAACUAGGAUUGGUCUAGUAACGGCGAGUAAAUUGCCAUGAGCUCAGUAUGUAAAUCGUCACUAGUGAUGAAUUGUGGUGUGUAGGUCAUUUUGUUCAGUUGAUAGACUAAGUCCCCUGGAACGGGGCAGCUAAGAGGGUGAGACUCCCAUGUGUCUGUUAGCAUGUGAACUGACCAACGAGUCGAGUUGUUUGGGAAU